This 514-nucleotide ribosomal RNA is filed under the name Colletotrichum gloeosporioides. RNAcentral's name for it is "eukaryotic LSU rRNA". The stretch from base 194 to 347 matches the Rfam family "5.8S ribosomal RNA". The record is from RNAcentral. Lineage: Eukaryota; Fungi; Ascomycota; Sordariomycetes; Glomerellales; Glomerellaceae.
GAACCAGCGGAGGGAUCAUUACUGAGUUUACGCUCUACAACCCUUUGUGAACAUACCUAUAACUGUUGCUUCGGCGGGUAGGGUCUGCGCGACCCUCCCGGCCUCCCGCCUCCGGGCGGGUCGGCGCCCGCCGGAGGAUAACCAAACUCUGAUUUAACGACGUUUCUUCUGAGUGGUACAAGCAAAUAAUCAAAACUUUUAACAACGGAUCUCUUGGUUCUGGCAUCGAUGAAGAACGCAGCGAAAUGCGAUAAGUAAUGUGAAUUGCAGAAUUCAGUGAAUCAUCGAAUCUUUGAACGCACAUUGCGCCCGCCAGCAUUCUGGCGGGCAUGCCUGUUCGAGCGUCAUUUCAACCCUCAAGCUCUGCUUGGUGUUGGGGCCCUACAGCUGAUGUAGGCCCUCAAAGGUAGUGGCGGACCCUUUUGGAGCUCCUUUGCGUAGUAACUUUACGUCUCGCACUGGGAUCCGGAGGGACUCUUGCCCGUAAAACCCCCAAUUUUCCAAAGGUUGACCU